RNAcentral lists this ribosomal RNA (253 nucleotides) under uncultured prokaryote. RNAcentral's name for it is "partial 16S ribosomal RNA". It matches the Rfam family "Bacterial small subunit ribosomal RNA", at positions 524 to 776 of the family's 1533-position model. The record is from RNAcentral.
GACAGGGGAUGCAAGCGUUAUCCGGAAUGAUUGGGCGUAAAGCGUCUGUAGGUGGCUUUUUAAGUCUGCCGUCAAAUCCCAGGGCUCAACCCUGGCCAGGCGGUGGAGACUACUAAGCUGGAGUACGGUAGGGGCAGAGGGAAUUUCCGGUGGAGCGGUGAAAUGCGUAGAUAUCUGGAGGAACACCGGUGGCGAAGGCGGCUACCUGGCCCAACAUUGACACUGAGACCCGAAAGCGUGGGGAUCAAACAGG